Molecule: ribosomal RNA, 253 nt
Filed under: uncultured bacterium
Lineage: Bacteria
Description: partial 16S ribosomal RNA
Rfam family: Bacterial small subunit ribosomal RNA
Source: RNAcentral
UACGUAGGGUGCAAGCGUUGUCCGGAAUUAUUGGGCGUAAAGAGCUCGUAGGCGGUUUGUCGCGUCUGCUGUGAAAACUCGGGGCUUAACUCCGAGACUGCAGUGGGUACGGGCAGACUAGAGUGCGGUAGGGGAGACUGGAAUUCCUGGUGUAGCGGUGAAAUGCGCAGAUAUCAGGAGGAACACCGGUGGCGAAGGCGGGUCUCUGGGCAAUAACUGACGCUGAGGAGCGAAAGCGUGGGGAGCGAACAGG